GACAGCAGCAGCCGCGGUAAUACGGAGGAUCCAAGCGUUAUCCGGAAUCAUUGGGUUUAAAGGGUCCGUAGGCGGUCUUGUAAGUCAGUGGUGAAAGCCCAUCGCUCAACGGUGGAACGGCCAUUGAUACUGCAGGACUUGAAUUAUUGGGAAGUAACUAGAAUAUGUAGUGUAGCGGUGAAAUGCUUAGAGAUUACAUGGAAUACCAAUUGCGAAGGCAGGUUACUACCAAUUGAUUGACGCUGAUGGACGAAAGCGUGGGUAGCGAACAGGAUUAGAUACCCCAGUAGUCCCUGUCUCUUAUAC
RNAcentral lists this ribosomal RNA (306 nucleotides) under uncultured bacterium. RNAcentral describes it as "partial 16S ribosomal RNA". It matches the Rfam family "Bacterial small subunit ribosomal RNA", at positions 507 to 807 of the family's 1533-position model. The record is from RNAcentral.